UACGAAGGGGGCUAGCGUUGCUCGGAAUUACUGGGCGUAAAGGGCGCGUAGGCGGAUAUUUAAGUCGGGGGUGAAAGCCCAGGGCUCAACCCUGGAACAGCCUUCGAUACUGGAUAUCUUGAGUACGGGAGAGGUGUGUGGAACUCCGAGUGUAGAGGUGAAAUUCGUAGAUAUUCGGAAGAACACCAGUGGCGAAGGCGGCUCACUGGCCCGGUACUGACGCUGAGGUGCGAAAGCGUGGGGAGCAAAACAGG
RNAcentral lists this ribosomal RNA (254 nucleotides) under uncultured bacterium. RNAcentral's name for it is "partial 16S ribosomal RNA". It matches the Rfam family "Bacterial small subunit ribosomal RNA", at positions 524 to 776 of the family's 1533-position model. The record is from RNAcentral.